RNAcentral lists this ribosomal RNA (1422 nucleotides) under uncultured bacterium. Its description in RNAcentral is "partial 16S ribosomal RNA". It matches the Rfam family "Bacterial small subunit ribosomal RNA". The record is from RNAcentral.
AGGGUUUGAUCAUGGCUCAGAACGAACGCUGGCGGCAUGCUUAACACAUGCAAGUCGAACGGAGACCCGGAGCUUGCUCCGGAAUUCUUAGUGGCGAACGGGUGAGUAACGCGUAUACAAUCUGCCUCAUACUAGGGAAUAGCCCGAAGAAAUUUGGAUUAAUGCCCUAUAGUAUCUUUUUAAGGCAUCUUAUUAAGAUUAAAGGUUACGGUAUGAGAUGAGUAUGCGUUCUAUUAGCUAGUAGGUGUGGUAACGGCACACCUAGGCUACGAUAGAUAGGGGCCCUGAGAGGGGGAUCCCCCACACUGGUACUGAGACACGGACCAGACUCCUACGGGAGGCAGCAGUAAGGAAUAUUGGUCAAUGGACGAAAGUCUGAACCAGCCAUGCCGCGUGCAGGAUGACUGCCCUAUGGGUUGUAAACUGCUUUUAUAUAGGAAGAAAAACUUUCUCGUGAGAAAGCUUGACGGUACUAUAAGAAUAAGGAUCGGCUAACUCCGUGCCAGCAGCCGCGGUAAUACGGAGGAUCCAAGCGUUAUCCGGAAUCAUUGGGUUUAAAGGGUCCGUAGGUGGACAAAUAAGUCAGAGGUGAAAUCCUGCAGCUCAACUGUAGAACUGCCUUUGAUACUGUUUGUCUUGAGUUAUUAUGAAGUGGUUAGAAUGUGUAGUGUAGCGGUGAAAUGCAUAGAUAUUACACAGAAUACCGAUUGCGAAGGCAGAUCACUAAUAAUCAACUGACACUGAUGGACGAAAGCGUGGGUAGCGAACAGGAUUAGAUACCCUGGUAGUCCAUGCCGUAAACGAUGUGUGUUAGACGUUGGAAAUUUAUUUUCAGUGUCGCAGCGAAAGCGAUAAACACACCGCCUGGGGAGUACGACCGCAAGGUUAAAACUCAAAUGAAUUGACGGGGACCCGCACAAGUAGUGGAGCAUGUGGUUUAAUUCGAAGAUACGCGCAGAACCUUACCAACACUUGACAUGUUCGUCGCGACUUUAAGAGAUUAAAGUUUUCGGUUCGGCCGGACGAAACACAGGUGCUGCAUGGCUGUCGUCAGCUCGUGUCGUGAGAUGUUGGGUUAAGUCCCGCAACGAGCGCAACCCACGUUUUUAGUUGCCAGCAUUUAGUUGGGCACUCUAGAAAGACCGCCGGUGAUAAACCGGAGGAAGGUGUGGAUGACGUCAAGUCAUCAUGCCCCUUACACCCUGGGCUACACACGUACUACAAUGCUACGGACAAAGGGCAGCAAACUCGCGAGAGCUAGCAAAUCCCAUAAACCGUAGCUCAGUUCAGAUCGUAGGCUGCAACUCGCCUACGUGAAGUAGGAAUCGCUAGUAAUCGCAGGUCAGCAUACUGCGGUGAAUACGUUCCCGGGCCUUGUACACACCGCCCGUCACACCAUGGAAGUUGGCCAUGCCCGAAGUC